GAAUAGUACCGUGAGGGAAAGGUGAAAAGAACCCCGGGAGGGGAGUGAAAUAGAACCUGAAACCCUACACUUACAAGCUGUGGGAGCGCAUUAUUCGCGUGACCGCGUACUUUUUGUAGAACGGGCCAACGAGUUACGUUAUGUGGCAAGGUUAAGCACUUAAGGUGUGGAGCCGAAGCGAAAGCGAGUCUUAACUGGGCGCCAUAGUCACAUGACGUAGACCCGAAACCGGGCGACCUACCCAUGAGCAGGAUGAAGCGAAAGUAAAAUUUCGUGGAGGUCCGAACCCACGUACGUUGAAAAGUGCGGGGAUGACUUGUGGGUAGCGGUGAAAUUCCAAUCGAGCUCGGAGAUAGCUGGUUCUCCCCGAAAUAGCUUUAGGGCUAGCCUUGAAAUUUAGAGAUGUGGAGGUAGAGCACUGAAUGUCCUAGGGGGUAUUGCACUUACCGAAGACUAUCAAACUCCGAAUGCCAUUAUCUUUUGUUCAGGAGUCAGACUAUGGGUGAUAAGGUUCAUAGUCGAAAGGGAAAGAGCCCAGACCGUCAGCUAAGGUCCCUAAAUGUAUGUUAAGUGGUAAAGGAUGUGGGAUUGCACAGACAACCAGGAUGUUGGCUUAGAAGCAGCCACUCAUUUAAAGAGUGCGUAAUAGCUCACUGGUCGAGUGAUCCUGCGCCGAAGAUUUCCGGGGCUAAAACAUACUACCGAAGCUACGGCAUCAUAUGAUGAUGGGUAGGGGAGCUUCCCAUGCAGGCUGAAGCGAUACCGUAAGGAGUCGUGGACAGUAUGGGAGAGAGAAUGUUGGCAUGAGUAGCGAGAUGAGGGUGAGAAUCCCUCAGGCCGUAAACCCAAGGUUUCCAGGGGAAGGUUCGUCCUCCCUGGGUUAGUCGGGACCUAAGCUCAGGCCGAAAGGCGUAGGCGAUGGACAACAGGUUGAGAUUCCUGUACUACCGAUAAUCGUUUGAGAGAAGGGAUGACACAGUAGGAUAAGCUGAGCACACUGUUGGUUAUGUGUGUCUAAGCGUUGAGGCAGACUAGAUAGGCAAAUCCGUUUAGUUAAUGCUGGGGCGCGAUGGGGAGCGAAACUAAGUAGCGAAGCAGCUGAUUUCACACUGUCGAGAAAAGUCUCUAUCGAGAUUAAAGGUACCCGUACCGCAAACCGACACAGGUAGGUGAGGAGAGAAUCCUAAGGCCAGCGAGAGAACUGUUGUUAAGGAACUCGGCAAAAUGACCCCGUAACUUAGGGAUAAGGGGUGCCCCAGCAAUGGGGCCGCAGAGAAUUGGCCCAAGCGACUGUUUACCAAAAACAUAGGUUUCUGCUAAGUCGCAAGACGAUGUAUAGGAGCUGACGCCUGCCCGGUGCUGGAAGGUUAAGGGGAUCUGUUAGAGCAAUCGAAGCAGUGAUCUUAAGCCCCAGUAAACGGCGGCCGUAACUAUAACGGUCCUAAGGUAGCGAAAUUCCUUGUCGGGUAAGUUCCGACCCGCACGAAAGGCGUAACGAUUUGGGCACUGUCUCAACAACAGACUCGGUGAAAUUGUAAUCCCGGUGAAGAUGCCGGGUACCUGCGACAGGACGGAAAGACCCCAUGGAGCUUUACUGUAGCUUGACAUUGGGUUUCGAUACUACAUGUACAGGAUAGGUGGGAGACUAUGAAAUCAGGGCGUCAGUUUUGAUGGAGUCAUCCUUGGGAUACCACCCUUGUAGUAUUGGGACUCUAACCAUAGGCCAUGAAUCUGGUCUUGGGACACUGUCUGGUGGGCAGUUUGACUGGGGCGGUCGCCUCCCAAAAGGUAACGGAGGCGCUCAAAGGUUCCCUCAGUACGGUCGGAAAUCGUACGAAGAGUGUAAAGGCAAAAGGGAGCUUGAUUGCAAGACAUACAGGUCGAGCAAGGUAGAAAUACGGACUUAGUGAUCCGGUGGUUCUGAGUGGAAGGGCCAUCGCUCAACGGAUAAAAGCUACCCUGGGGAUAACAGGCUUAUC
Molecule: ribosomal RNA, 1979 nt
Filed under: human oral metagenome
Description: bacterial LSU rRNA
Rfam family: Bacterial large subunit ribosomal RNA
Source: RNAcentral